UUUUGGAACAAUUUUGGAACA
Molecule: non-coding RNA, 21 nt
Filed under: Caenorhabditis elegans
Lineage: Eukaryota; Metazoa; Nematoda; Chromadorea; Rhabditida; Rhabditidae
Source: RNAcentral